This 1552-nucleotide ribosomal RNA is filed under the name Salmonella enterica subsp. enterica serovar Typhimurium. RNAcentral describes it as "bacterial SSU rRNA". It matches the Rfam family "Bacterial small subunit ribosomal RNA". RNAcentral also lists the same sequence under 1 other name. Lineage: Bacteria; Pseudomonadati; Pseudomonadota; Gammaproteobacteria; Enterobacterales; Enterobacteriaceae. The record is from RNAcentral.
AAAUUGAAGAGUUUGAUCAUGGCUCAGAUUGAACGCUGGCGGCAGGCCUAACACAUGCAAGUCGAACGGUAACAGGAAGCAGCUUGCUGCUUUGCUGACGAGUGGCGGACGGGUGAGUAAUGUCUGGGAAACUGCCUGAUGGAGGGGGAUAACUACUGGAAACGGUGGCUAAUACCGCAUAACGUCGCAAGACCAAAGAGGGGGACCUUCGGGCCUCUUGCCAUCAGAUGUGCCCAGAUGGGAUUAGCUUGUUGGUGAGGUAACGGCUCACCAAGGCGACGAUCCCUAGCUGGUCUGAGAGGAUGACCAGCCACACUGGAACUGAGACACGGUCCAGACUCCUACGGGAGGCAGCAGUGGGGAAUAUUGCACAAUGGGCGCAAGCCUGAUGCAGCCAUGCCGCGUGUAUGAAGAAGGCCUUCGGGUUGUAAAGUACUUUCAGCGGGGAGGAAGGUGUUGCGGUUAAUAACCGCAGCAAUUGACGUUACCCGCAGAAGAAGCACCGGCUAACUCCGUGCCAGCAGCCGCGGUAAUACGGAGGGUGCAAGCGUUAAUCGGAAUUACUGGGCGUAAAGCGCACGCAGGCGGUCUGUCAAGUCGGAUGUGAAAUCCCCGGGCUCAACCUGGGAACUGCAUUCGAAACUGGCAGGCUUGAGUCUUGUAGAGGGGGGUAGAAUUCCAGGUGUAGCGGUGAAAUGCGUAGAGAUCUGGAGGAAUACCGGUGGCGAAGGCGGCCCCCUGGACAAAGACUGACGCUCAGGUGCGAAAGCGUGGGGAGCAAACAGGAUUAGAUACCCUGGUAGUCCACGCCGUAAACGAUGUCUACUUGGAGGUUGUGCCCUUGAGGCGUGGCUUCCGGAGCUAACGCGUUAAGUAGACCGCCUGGGGAGUACGGCCGCAAGGUUAAAACUCAAAUGAAUUGACGGGGGCCCGCACAAGCGGUGGAGCAUGUGGUUUAAUUCGAUGCAACGCGAAGAACCUUACCUGGUCUUGACAUCCACAGAAGAAUCCAGAGAUGGAUUUGUGCCUUCGGGAACUGUGAGACAGGUGCUGCAUGGCUGUCGUCAGCUCGUGUUGUGAAAUGUUGGGUUAAGUCCCGCAACGAGCGCAACCCUUAUCCUUUGUUGCCAGCGAUUAGGUCGGGAACUCAAAGGAGACUGCCAGUGAUAAACUGGAGGAAGGUGGGGAUGACGUCAAGUCAUCAUGGCCCUUACGACCAGGGCUACACACGUGCUACAAUGGCGCAUACAAAGAGAAGCGACCUCGCGAGAGCAAGCGGACCUCAUAAAGUGCGUCGUAGUCCGGAUUGGAGUCUGCAACUCGACUCCAUGAAGUCGGAAUCGCUAGUAAUCGUGGAUCAGAAUGCCACGGUGAAUACGUUCCCGGGCCUUGUACACACCGCCCGUCACACCAUGGGAGUGGGUUGCAAAAGAAGUAGGUAGCUUAACCUUCGGGAGGGCGCUUACCACUUUGUGAUUCAUGACUGGGGUGAAGUCGUAACAAGGUAACCGUAGGGGAACCUGCGGUUGGAUCACCUCCUUACCUUAAAGAA